AAGGCCUCCUCCCCAUUGCCACCACCAUUCCCCUUCAACUUCCUUUUCUGAAGUUGUUUCAAAUGUGCUACUGCAUCAUGCAAUUCAACUCUGUUCGUCAUCUUCAGAGCUUCUUUCAAAGCUUUCUUAGCCUCCUCAGUUUCCCCAGCCCCCAAUAAAGCCACAGCCUUAUUGAGCUGUGCUCUCCAGUGAUUCGGCCAAACACUUAGUACCCUAGUGUACAUCUCUGAAGCACGCUGAUACCUACCCAUAUCCAUGUAAAGUCCACCUAAAUUGUACAAGGCAUCAACAUGACCAGGUUUCAA
Molecule: unclassified non-coding RNA, 305 nt
Filed under: Hevea brasiliensis (rubber tree)
Lineage: Eukaryota; Viridiplantae; Streptophyta; Magnoliopsida; Malpighiales; Euphorbiaceae
Source: RNAcentral